RNAcentral lists this microRNA (24 nucleotides) under Corchorus olitorius. RNAcentral describes it as "mtr-miR520". The record is from RNAcentral. Lineage: Eukaryota; Viridiplantae; Streptophyta; Magnoliopsida; Malvales; Malvaceae.
CUUAUAAUUAGGGAGAGAGGGAGU